AACAGGAUUAGAUACCCUGGUAGUCCACGCCCUAAACGAUGUCAACUGGUUGUUGGGAGGGUUUCUUCUCAGUAACGUAGCUAACGCGUGAAGUUGACCGCCUGGGGAGUACGGCCGCAAGGUUGAAACUCAAAGGAAUUGACGGGGACCCGCACAAGCGGUGGAUGAUGUGGUUUAAUUCGAUGCAACGCGAAAAACCUUACCUACCCUUGACAUGCCAGGAAUCUUGCAGAGAUGUGAGAGUGCUCGAAAGAGAACCUGGACACAGGUGCUGCAUGGCCGUCGUCAGCUCGUGUCGUGAGAUGUUGGGUUAAGUCCCGCAACGAGCGCAACCCUUGUCAUUAGUUGCUACGAAAGGGCACUCUAAUGAGACUGCCGGUGACAAACCGGAGGAAGGUGGGGAUGACGUCAGGUCAUCAUGGCCCUUAUGGGUAGGGCUACACACGUCAUACAAUGGCCGGGACAGAGGGCUGCCAACCCGCGAGGGGGAGCUAAUCCCAGAAACCCGGUCGUAGUCCGGAUCGCAGUCUGCAACUCGACUGCGUGAAGUCGGAAUCGCUAGUAAUCGCGGAUCAGCUUGCCGCGGUGAAUACGUUCCCGGGUCUUGUACACACCGCACGUCACACCAUGGGAGCGGGUUCUGCCAGAAGUAGUUAGCCUAACCGCAAGGAGGGCGAUUACCACGGCAGGGUUCGUGACUGGGGUGAAGUCGUAACAAGGUAACC
This 725-nucleotide ribosomal RNA is filed under the name uncultured bacterium. Its description in RNAcentral is "bacterial SSU rRNA". It matches the Rfam family "Bacterial small subunit ribosomal RNA", at positions 771 to 1501 of the family's 1533-position model. The record is from RNAcentral.